GCUUCCUUAGCUCCAAUUGGCAGAGCAUCUGUUUUGUAAUCAGAGGGUUGUCCGUUCGAAUCGGACAGGGAGCACCA
This 77-nucleotide transfer RNA is filed under the name Vibrio phage Pontus. RNAcentral's name for it is "tRNA-Thr". It matches the Rfam family "tRNA". From Rfam's summary of the family: Transfer RNA (tRNA) molecules are approximately 80 nucleotides in length. The record is from RNAcentral. Lineage: Duplodnaviria; Heunggongvirae; Uroviricota; Caudoviricetes; Demerecviridae.